UGACGGUGAUGAGCACUUUACCGAAACUGAUCAUUUUUUGAUGAGACAAACCUUCGGAUCUGAUUACUGAGUU
Molecule: small nucleolar RNA, 73 nt
Organism: Anarrhichthys ocellatus (wolf-eel)
Lineage: Eukaryota; Metazoa; Chordata; Actinopteri; Perciformes; Anarhichadidae
Product: small nucleolar RNA SNORD50
Exons: 1
Source: RefSeq, a predicted model, not a curated record